UACGUAGGGGGCUAGCGCUGUCCGGAUUUAUUGGGCGUAAAGAGCGUGUAGGCGGCCAGGUAGGUCUGCUGUGAAAACUCGAGGCUCAACCUCGAGACGUCGGCGGAAACCAUCUGGCUAGAGUCCGGAAGAGGAGAGUGGAAUUCCUGGUGUAGCGGUGAAAUGCGCAGAUAUCAGGAAGAACACCCGUGGCUAAGGCGGCUCUCUAGUACGGUACUGACGCUGAGACGCGAAAGCGUGGGGAGCGAACAGG
RNAcentral lists this ribosomal RNA (253 nucleotides) under uncultured bacterium. Its description in RNAcentral is "partial 16S ribosomal RNA". It matches the Rfam family "Bacterial small subunit ribosomal RNA", at positions 524 to 776 of the family's 1533-position model. The record is from RNAcentral.